RNAcentral lists this unclassified non-coding RNA (23 nucleotides) under Arabidopsis thaliana (thale cress). Lineage: Eukaryota; Viridiplantae; Streptophyta; Magnoliopsida; Brassicales; Brassicaceae. The record is from RNAcentral.
GUGUAGAGUCGAGCCUGUAUAUA